Molecule: small RNA, 884 nt
Filed under: Pan troglodytes (chimpanzee)
Lineage: Eukaryota; Metazoa; Chordata; Mammalia; Primates; Hominidae
Description: retained intron
Source: RNAcentral
GAGCCUCCCACUGAGGAUCAUCUUCUGCAGAAUACUUUGUGGCCUGAAGUUCAAAAACUAUAUGGGCAUGGUUAUGAAAUAUUUUGUGUUACUUGUAACAGUUCAAAGACUCUGCUUGCCUCAGCUUGUAAGGCAGCUAAGAAAGAGCAUGCAGCUAUCAUUCUUUGGAACACUACAUCUUGGAAACAGGUGCAGAAUUUAGUUUUCCACAGUUUGACAGUCACGCAGAUGGCCUUCUCACCUAAUGAGAAGUUCUUACUAGCUGUUUCCAGAGAUCGAACCUGGUCAUUGUGGAAAAAGCAGGAUACAAUCUCACCUGAGUUCGGUAAAACAGCUUCUGAUUGGGAAAGUUAUUAGUGAAACAGUUAUGUCCAUUUUAUCUACAUUAAGCAGCUUUAGUUAAGAGAAAGAUAACAGAGUGAAGGGUAGAGCCUCAUGUCUUUGAAGCCUUUCAAAGUUCUUGGAUAACUGAGGAAGACUUGACCUUCCUUGUAAGAUUUAAAUGGAGAUGAUCUUUAUUUGGGUUGACCUACUUGUGAUUAUGUAGUCAAGAUGGCAUGCGUUCAGAUAUCUCAGUUCAAGAAACAUAAACAUCUGUAUGUAGGAAGUUAGGUUUUGCAAAUCGUGAUAGAAUGCUACCACAAAACCUAAUGGAUAACUUAUCCUAAGCUAGGAUUUUAUGGGACAGGAAUAAUGAAGAUACAACUAAGAAAACUCAUGGUUGAGUGGUUUCUUCUCUCUGAACUAUUUUAUUAAUAUAGUACUAUUUUAAAUUAUGAAAUGUAGAGGAAACCAUUAUCCUUAGCUUUUUCCUACCCUCUCCAGUCACCUCCUUCAUUGAGAAGGGCAUAUUAGGCAUCCGUCUGGAUAACAUGACCCCUGAG